UCCUUCCAUACGUCGAACUUACGACUCUCGCAUCGAUGAAGAACGCAGCGAAAUGCGAUACUUGGUGUGAAUUGCAGAAUCCCGUGAACCAUCGAGUCUUUGAACGCAAGUUGCGCCCGAGGCUAUCCGGCCGAGGGCACGCC
RNAcentral lists this ribosomal RNA (143 nucleotides) under Ophiopogon umbraticola. RNAcentral describes it as "5.8S ribosomal RNA". The stretch from base 23 to 143 matches the Rfam family "5.8S ribosomal RNA", at positions 23 to 141 of the family's 154-position model. Rfam says of the family: 5.8S ribosomal RNA (5.8S rRNA) is a component of the large subunit of the eukaryotic ribosome. It is transcribed by RNA polymerase I as part of the 45S precursor that also contains 18S and 28S rRNA. The record is from RNAcentral. Lineage: Eukaryota; Viridiplantae; Streptophyta; Magnoliopsida; Asparagales; Asparagaceae.